Molecule: ribosomal RNA, 2909 nt
Filed under: Escherichia coli
Lineage: Bacteria; Pseudomonadati; Pseudomonadota; Gammaproteobacteria; Enterobacterales; Enterobacteriaceae
Description: 23S ribosomal RNA
Rfam family: Bacterial large subunit ribosomal RNA
Source: RNAcentral
GGUUAAGCGACUAAGCGUACACGGUGGAUGCCCUGGCAGUCAGAGGCGAUGAAGGACGUGCUAAUCUGCGAUAAGCGUCGGUAAGGUGAUAUGAACCGUUAUAACCGGCGAUUUCCGAAUGGGGAAACCCAGUGUGAUUCGUCACACUAUCAUUAACUGAAUCCAUAGGUUAAUGAGGCGAACCGGGGGAACUGAAACAUCUAAGUACCCCGAGGAAAAGAAAUCAACCGAGAUUCCCCCAGUAGCGGCGAGCGAACGGGGAGGAGCCCAGAGCCUGAAUCAGUGUGUGUGUUAGUGGAAGCGUCUGGAAAGGCGCGCGAUACAGGGUGACAGCCCCGUACACAAAAAUGCACAUACUGUGAGCUCGAUGAGUAGGGCGGGACACGUGGUAUCCUGUCUGAAUAUGGGGGGACCAUCCUCCAAGGCUAAAUACUCCUGACUGACCGAUAGUGAACCAGUACCGUGAGGGAAAGGCGAAAAGAACCCCGGCGAGGGGAGUGAAAAAGAACCUGAAACCGUGUACGUACAAGCAGUGGGAGCCUCUUAAUGGGGUGACUGCGUACCUUUUGUAUAAUGGGUCAGCGACUUAUAUUCUGUAGCAAGGUUAACCGAAUAGGGGAGCCGAAGGGAAACCGAGUCUUAACUGGGCGUUAAGUUGCAGGGUAUAGACCCGAAACCCGGUGAUCUAGCCAUGGGCAGGUUGAAGGUUGGGUAACACUAACUGGAGGACCGAACCGACUAAUGUUGAAAAAAUUAGCGGAUGACUUGUGGCUGGGGGUGAAAGGCCAAUCAAACCGGGAGAUAGCUGGUUCUCCCCGAAAGCUAUUUAGGUAGCGCCUCGUGAAUUCAUCUCCGGGGGUAGAGCACUGUUUCGGCAAGGGGGUCAUCCCGACUUACCAACCCGAUGCAAACUGCGAAUACCGGAGAAUGUUAUCACGGGAGACACACGGCGGGUGCUAACGUCCGUCGUGAAGAGGGAAACAACCCAGACCGCCAGCUAAGGUCCCAAAGUCAUGGUUAAGUGGGAAACGAUGUGGGAAGGCCCAGACAGCCAGGAUGUUGGCUUAGAAGCAGCCAUCAUUUAAAGAAAGCGUAAUAGCUCACUGGUCGAGUCGGCCUGCGCGGAAGAUGUAACGGGGCUAAACCAUGCACCGAAGCUGCGGCAGCGACGCUUAUGCGUUGUUGGGUAGGGGGAGCGUUCUGUAAGCCUGUGAAGGUGGCCUGUGAGGGUUGCUGGAGGUAUCAGAAGUGCGAAUGCUGACAUAAGUAACGAUAAAGCGGGUGAAAAGCCCGCUCGCCGGAAGACCAAGGGUUCCUGUCCAACGUUAAUCGGGGCAGGGGUGAGUCGACCCCUAAGGCGAGGCCGAAAGGCGUAGUCGAUGGGAAACAGGUUAAUAUUCCUGUACUUGGUGUUACUGCGAAGGGGGGGACGGAGAAGGCUAUGUUGGCCGGGCGACGGUUGUCCCGGUUUAAGCGUGUAGGCUGGUUUUCCAGGCAAAUCCGGAAAAUCAAGGCUGAGGCGUGAUGACGAGGCACUACGGUGCUGAAGCGACAAAUGCCCUGCUUCCAGGAAAAGCCUCUAAGCAUCAGGUAACAUUAAAUCGUACCCCAAACCGACACAGGUGGUCAGGUAGAGAAUACCAAGGCGCUUGAGAGAACUCGGGUGAAGGAACUAGGCAAAAUGGUGCCGUAACUUCGGGAGAAGGCACGCUGAUAUGUAGGUGAAGCGACUUGCUCGUGGAGCUGAAAUCAGUCGAAGAUACCAGCUGGCUGCAACUGUUUAUUAAAAACACAGCACUGUGCAAACACGAAAGUGGACGUAUACGGUGUGACGCCUGCCCGGUGCCGGAAGGUUAAUUGAUGGGGUUAGCGGUAACGCGAAGCUCUUGAUCGAAGCCCCGGUAAACGGCGGCCGUAACUAUAACGGUCCUAAGGUAGCGAAAUUCCUUGUCGGGUAAGUUCCGACCUGCACGAAUGGCGUAAUGAUGGCCAGGCUGUCUCCACCCGAGACUCAGUGAAAUUGAACUCGCUGUGAAGAUGCAGUGUACCCGCGGCAAGACGGAAAGACCCCGUGAACCUUUACUAUAGCUUGACACUGAACAUUGAGCCUUGAUGUGUAGGAUAGGUGGGAGGCUUUGAAGUGUGGACGCCAGUCUGCAUGGAGCCGACCUUGAAAUACCACCCUUUAAUGUUUGAUGUUCUAACGUGGGCCCCUUACCGGGGUUGCGGACAGUGUCUGGUGGGUAGUUUGACUGGGGCGGUCUCCUCCUAAAGAGUAACGGAGGAGCACGAAGGUUGGCUAAUCCUGGUCGGACAUCAGGAGGUUAGUGCAAUGGCAUAAGCCAGCUUGACUGCGAGCGUGACGGCGCGAGCAGGUGCGAAAGCAGGUCAUAGUGAUCCGGUGGUUCUGAAUGGAAGGGCCAUCGCUCAACGGAUAAAAGGUACUCCGGGGAUAACAGGCUGAUACCGCCCAAGAGUUCAUAUCGACGGCGGUGUUUGGCACCUCGAUGUCGGCUCAUCACAUCCUGGGGCUGAAGUAGGUCCCAAGGGUAUGGCUGUUCGCCAUUUAAAGUGGUACGCGAGCUGGGUUUAGAACGUCGUGAGACAGUUCGGUCCCUAUCUGCCGUGGGCGCUGGAGAACUGAGGGGGGCUGCUCCUAGUACGAGAGGACCGGAGUGGACGCAUCACUGGUGUUCGGGUUGUCAUGCCAAUGGCACUGCCCGGUAGCUAAAUGCGGAAGAGAUAAGUGCUGAAAGCAUCUAAGCACGAAACUUGCCCCGAGAUGAGUUCUCCCUGACUCCUUGAGAGUCCUGAAGGAACGUUGAAGACGACGACGUUGAUAGGCCGGGUGUGUAAGCGCAGCGAUGCGUUGAGCUAACCGGUACUAAUGAACCGUGAGGCUUAACCUU